UGGGGAAUAUUGCACAAUGGACGAAAGUCUGAUGCAGCAACGCCGCGUGGAGGAUGACACAUUUCGGUGCGUAAACUCCUUUUAUAUGGGAAGAUAAUGGCGGUACCAUAUGAAUAAGCACCGGCUAACUCCGUGCCAGCAGCCGCGGUAAUACGGAGGGUGCAAGCGUUACUCGGAAUCACUGGGCGUAAAGAGCGUGUAGGCGGGUAGUUAAGUCAGAAGUGAAAUCCAAUAGCUCAACUAUUGAACUGCUUUUGAAACUGAUUACCUAGAAUAUGGGAGAGGUAGAUGGAAUUUCUGGUGUAGGGGUAAAAUCCGUAGAGAUCAGAAGGAAUACCGAUUGCUAAGGCGAUCUACUGGAACAUUAUUGACGCUGAGACGCGAAAGCGUGGGGAGCAAACA
This 402-nucleotide ribosomal RNA is filed under the name uncultured prokaryote. RNAcentral's name for it is "bacterial SSU rRNA". It matches the Rfam family "Bacterial small subunit ribosomal RNA", at positions 355 to 774 of the family's 1533-position model. The record is from RNAcentral.